Molecule: ribosomal RNA, 1040 nt
Filed under: uncultured bacterium
Lineage: Bacteria
Description: bacterial SSU rRNA
Rfam family: Bacterial small subunit ribosomal RNA
Source: RNAcentral
UUAGAGUUUGAUCAUGGCUCAGGACGAACGCUGGCGGCGUGCCUAAUACAUGCAAGUCGAACGCGUCCCGGUUGAUGAAGUUGAGUGCUUGCACUUGAUUGAUUCAACUUGGUGACGAGUGGCGAACUGGUGAGUAACACGUGGGUAACCUGCCCCGAAGCGGGGGAUAACAUUUGGAAACAGGUGCUAAUACCGCAUAACAACCAAAACCUCCUGGUUUUGGUUUAAAAGACGGCUUCGGCUGUCACUUUGGGAUGGACCCGCGGCGUAUUAGCUAGUUGGUGAGGUAACGGCUCACCAAGGCGAUGAUACGUAGCCGACCUGAGAGGGUAAUCGGCCACAUUGGGACUGAGACACGGCCCAAACUCCUACGGGAGGCAGCAGUAGGGAAUCUUCCACAAUGGACGCAAGUCUGAUGGAGCAACGCCGCGUGAGUGAUGAAGGGUUUCGGCUCGUAAAACUCUGUUGUUGGAGAAGAACGGGUGUCAGAGUAACUGUUGACAUCGUGACGGUAUCCAACCAGAAAGCCACGGCUAACUACGUGCCAGCAGCCGCGGUAAUACGUAGGUGGCAAGCGUUGUCCGGAUUUAUUGGGCGUAAAGCGAGCGCAGGCGGUUUUUUAGGUCUGAUGUGAAAGCCUUCGGCUUAACCGGAGAAGUGCAUCGGAAACCGGGAGACUUGAGUGCAGAAGAGGACAGUGGAACUCCAUGUGUAGCGGUGAAAUGCGUAGAUAUAUGGAAGAACACCAGUGGCGAAGGCGGCUGUCUGGUCUGCAACUGACGCUGAGGCUCGAAAGCAUGGGUAGCGAACAGGAUUAGAUACCCUGGUAGUCCAUGCCGUAAACGAUGAGUGCUAAGUGUUUGGAGGGUUUCCGCCCUUCAGUGCUGCAGCUAACGCAUUAGGCACUCCGCNCUGGGGAGUACGACCGCAAGGUUGAACUCAAAGGGAAUUGACGGGGGCCGCACAAGCGGUGGAAGCAUGUGGUUUAAUUCGAUGCUACGCGAAGAACCUUACCAGGUCUUGACAUCUUCUGCUAACCU